GACGAACGCUGGCGGCGUGCUUAAUACAUGCAAGUCGACUGAACUUAAGGUAGCAAUAUUUUAAGGGAGGUGGCGCACGGGUGAGUAACACGUAGGUAAUCUGCCUUUAGGACUGACAUAACUCCGCGAAAGCGGAGCUAAUUUCAGAUGAUGCAGCGGCUCGACAUCGAGACAGUUGUUAAACCUUCGGGGCCUAAAGAUGAGCCUGCGUCUGAUUAGGUAGUUGGCGGAGUAAUAGCCCACCAAGCCAUCGAUCAGUAGCUGGUCUGAGAGGAUGAUCAGCCACACUGGAACUGAGACACGGUCCAGACUCCUACGGGAGGCAGCAGUAAGGAAUAUUGCUCAAUGGCCGAAAGGCUGAAGCAGCAACGCCGCGUGGAGGAUG
RNAcentral lists this ribosomal RNA (385 nucleotides) under uncultured bacterium. Its description in RNAcentral is "bacterial SSU rRNA". It matches the Rfam family "Bacterial small subunit ribosomal RNA", at positions 28 to 410 of the family's 1533-position model. The record is from RNAcentral.